This 2383-nucleotide unclassified non-coding RNA is filed under the name Hevea brasiliensis (rubber tree). The record is from RNAcentral. Lineage: Eukaryota; Viridiplantae; Streptophyta; Magnoliopsida; Malpighiales; Euphorbiaceae.
UCUCUCUCUCUCUCUCUCUCUAAUAUUGAAGGGAACCUGUGCAAAAACAACAUUGGAGCUUUGAUCAAACACCUUAAACUUGCUGCGUAUGACAUGAACUAACACAAAAGAAAGACAACAUAUUAUCAAUUAUUGAGAGACACUUCCUAGAUCAAUCUUUGCCAAUGUCUCCCUGAAUUUCUUUUCUCAAUGCACAAGAGCAGAUCCUGAAAAAACAAGAAUCAAAACCUCAAUUCUUUUUCAAUUAUUUUAGAUAAAGAAUUCUGAACCAAUAACUAAAGACAGACUUCCUCAAACCAAAGAUCUAUACAUUCUCAAACCAAUGGAUAGGAAGAAAGUCCAAACUCACUUUGCUGUUAUUAAGAAGCAUUAGACCAAAUUACAGUCAGAUUACACAAAAACCAUAAUAAAAAAUUAUAAAAACGAAAAAAAGAAAAAAAAAAGGGAAAUAGAUAACAAUGGUCCCCCAAAUAUUGUUAUUCACCCAAAACCAAGGGAUCAAGCCUGCACACGUAUUCUCAAAACAAUGGGAAAUGGCAGCCAGAACAUAAAAGCUCAUACCCAAGCUGUAAUUAAGAAGCUGAAACAAAAUUGAUGUUCAAUGUGCAAAAAAAAUAGUUGUCAUUUUCCAACAGUUCCAAAAAAAAGGGAAAAAAAAAGUAGUAGUUCUGAGCACAAGGGUUCAGAUAUUAACAAAUAAUUGCAAAAGAGGGGAAAAAAAUACUUCAGGCUUUUCCAACCACAGACUUCAAAAAUAUGAACUGACCCUGAAAGAAAAAAAUUCAAUUGUUCAUAAUUAUAUCAUUGUUCUACUUAAAGAUAUGUAUCUGAGAAAAACAGAAAUUUCACACUCCCUCCCAAAGGUAGAUUUCAGAUAAAGCAGCAAUAACCAAAUGUCUCCCUGAUCCAUCUUUGUCCACAUGGUCCUCAGACUCAAAACACUUGAGCCCUGAAAGCACAUGCAUGAGAAAACAUACCAACUGAAAUUAAAAUCCUUUAAAAAUUGGGAUUCAUAAAUUAUUGCUGACUAAAGAAACAAAAUAGAGAAGGGGAAAAGCCCAGUCACUCUUGGCAAAAACUUUUUCAUGAUUAGUCCACCACACUGAUUAAAUCUUGAAAAAUUACAACUAAAAAAAAUAAAACUAAAAUUCACAGAAUCUACCAAAUACAGAUUCUUAAAACUAUAAAUUAUAGCUUGAGAUCCAAGGUCCCUCAUCUGAGAAAAUCCCUUCGCCUUUAAUCAAUCAUUAACCCACAUGGUCAACAGAAGGCAGAAACCACCUAGGGAAACAAUAAUCAAAUCUCAAGUUUCAAAUUAUCUGCCAAGAACAAAGUUGUUUAAACAAAAAGGAAAGGCAAGAUAUUUAAAUAGCUCUGCAUUGCAUCCAUGACUGAAAACAGAAAGUGCGAAUUUUAGAAUUAUCAAAAGCAGAACACAAGACCGAAUCUCAGAUACCCACAACAUACCUACAUAGCAUGAGCUAAAUACAUCAACUUUCCCUUUCCAACAUCAACUGAUCUCUCUAUGCAUCAAGUGUUAUCUUUAGUUAACACCUUAAACUUGCAAUGUAGAACACCAAUGCAAUGAGAAAUUAUGGUGUAAUUAGUAAACACUUGCCAAUCUUAGUGCAUGUGAAGCCAUCAAUUUCUCAAAUGAAUAAAUCACUAGAAACUUUGAUUUCGUAACUUAUCUAUUUAAACCAAUAACUGGCAGAGACUCUGUCAGGCCUAUCCACACGCCAUCAAAACAACUCACUGGAAGAAAACAAAAGCUUACAUUGAAAUUGUGAUCUAGAAGAAUAAACCAAUUUAAUGAUAAAGCCGUUAUCUUAAAUAACCCCCCUCUUAUGCACCCAUGAGAUCCUGGCAACACGCAAAAGGCAAGCUCCAACUUAAUCACCUUGAACGUCCAUACCACAUCAACAUAACAAGAAAUAACAGCAAACUUAUUAUUGUAUAAAAAAAAUUCCUGUCAAUAAUUGGUGCAUUGUGAAAAAUCCUGAAUUUCUCAAUCCACUUGGGCAGUCCCGAAAAAGCAAGCAUUCUAAGUUCUUACAUUCUUGUUUUUUAAGUCGAAAUUUUUUAAAUCAAUAAACUAAGGCACUAACCUAUCCAAAUUCUAAACUGUUUAAAUCAAUAAUCAAGGCACAAACCUAUCCAAAUUCUCAAAACAAUGGGGAGUUUUAGGAAAUUCAUAGAAGCGCAUACCACAACUAAAACUUUACAAGAGAUCAUUCUCAAUCGCUAAAAAGGAAGGAAAUAAAGAGACGAACAAAAAUAAAAAACAAUUAUUGGAUACCCAAAAUCUUUUAGGAAACAAAGGAUACCUGACAAGCAGCAUUAACCACCCAAUCCGGGUAGAACAACAGAGAGAGAGAGAGAG